RNAcentral lists this ribosomal RNA (495 nucleotides) under uncultured bacterium. Its description in RNAcentral is "partial 16S ribosomal RNA". It matches the Rfam family "Bacterial small subunit ribosomal RNA", at positions 28 to 507 of the family's 1533-position model. The record is from RNAcentral.
GACGAACGCUGGCGGCGUGCCUAAUACAUGCAAGUAGAACGCUGAAGGAGGAGCUUGCUUCUCUGGAUGAGUUGCGAAAGGGUGAGUAACGCGUAGGUAACCUGCCUGGUAGCGGGGGAUAACUAUUGGAAACGAUAGCUAAUACCGCAUAAUAGUAGAUGGUGCAUGACAUUUGCUUAAAAAGUGCAAUUGCAACACUACCAGAUGGACCUGCGUUGUAUUAGCUAGUUGGUGGGGUAACGGCUCACCAAGGCGACGAUACAUAGCCGACCUGAGAGGGUGAUCGGCCACACUGGGACUGAGACACGGCCCAGACUCCUACGGGAGGCAGCAGUAGGGAAUCUUCGGCAAUGGACGGAAGUCUGACCGAGCAACGCCGCGUGAGUGAAGAAGGUUUUCGGAUCGUAAAGCUCUGUUGUAAGAGAAGAACGAGUGUGAGAGUGGAAAGUUCACACUGUGACGGUAUCUUACCAGAAAGGGACGGCUAACUACGUG